UUUGUUUUACGGGCGGAAAUUGUUACCAUUUUCGGCUCAAAAAAUGGUAACAAUUUUCGCACGUAAUACAAA
Molecule: microRNA precursor, 72 nt
Filed under: Paramuricea clavata
Lineage: Eukaryota; Metazoa; Cnidaria; Anthozoa; Malacalcyonacea; Plexauridae
Source: RNAcentral